RNAcentral lists this long non-coding RNA (4186 nucleotides) under Homo sapiens (human). Its description in RNAcentral is "HSALNT0290630". The record is from RNAcentral. Lineage: Eukaryota; Metazoa; Chordata; Mammalia; Primates; Hominidae.
UUUUCAGCCUCAGGGAGCUCUAGUGGAGAGACAAGAUUCGUGCAUGAAAUAAUUACGACUGUUGUAGAAAAAAGAAAAGCCUGUAGGUCUCCCUUCCUCCCUCCUUCUCUCUGUCUACCUCAGCAUUUCUGGGGUUCACUCUGCUCUGGGUACUGUGUAAAGGACUCCACAGCCAUCAACUUCCCUUCAUCCUUGCCGUGUCUUUGAAAGAGCUGAGAUUUCUUUACAUCACAGUGGUUCAAGGAGAAAAACACAGCCAGAUCCUUCCUCAUCUCAACAUAAAUUAAACCCAGAGGCAGUCAGCGCCACAGUCCACACUCGUAACCGUUACACUCACCUGGAAAUAAAAGUAUUUUUGUGCGGGGACUGCAAGGACUAAGCCCGGCCGCACUCCGAGUUUCUCCUCCUCACAGCCUAGGGAUCAGCCUCCUUGUUUCAGAUGCGGAGAUAAGAGCCCAGAGAGGUUAAGUGGCCCAGCCAAGAUCACACAGCACAGUGGCAGCCAAAGAGAGAUAGGGGCUGAGGCUCAGAGAGGGCAAGUGACCUGCCCAAAGUCACACAGCCGUGACUCAUUGCUCAGGUGAGGAAACUGAGGCUCAGAGAGGGUCCGUGGCAUGUCCAAGGUUACUCUGCUGUUAAUUGUUUUCUUGGCACUCUCUCCCUUCUCACCUGUGACUACCUGAGUGUCCCCAGAGGCAAGGAACUAUGUGAGCCACUCCAGUGUUCCCAGCCCCAAGGCCAGGCACAGUGGACAUUUAUUGCUGAAUGAAUGAAUCAAGAGAGAGGAUCAGAAAGCUGCAGAGGAUGAUAGAUCUGCAAAAUUCUCCCUGGGUGAGGCCCAGGCUCAGCUUCCAGAACAGCUCCAUCUGUCUCCCACUCACUGAGAUUGAACUAAUGUCCCACAGUUGGACAGACCUGAAAUUGAGCUCUGUGAUUUUGGAUGUGCCUUUUGCCUUCCACGGUGAUUGUGAGGCCUCUCAAGCCACGUGGAACUAUGGAGUCUCAAUAUGCUGCCCAGGCUGGAGUGUGGUGGUGCCAACAUAGCUCAUUGCAGCCUUGAACACCCAGGCUCAAGUGAUCCUCCUAUCUCAGCCUCCCAAGUAGCUGGGACUACAGGUGCUCCAUUAAAUCAGGAACCUUGUUGCUUCUGGUAUCUGGGGUGUCCCACCGCUACCCCCAUGUGAGUGCCUGGCACAUAUAGAUACUUGAUACCUGCUUGCUGAAUAAAUGAAUAAGUGCAACUUGACUGGAUGAUGAGAGGCACAGCUGAGUCCGGAGCAGACUGAGCCACCUAAGAGGGGAGGAACCGCUGCAGAGAAACCGUGUUAAGCCUUUUUGAAGUUCCAGAGGGAGAACAAGAGAGCGGAGGCUCCUGGUGGCUGGUGACAGGUGCUGAUUUGUUCUGGGGAAAGAGCACAGAAAAGUGCCUGGAGAGGAGGCGGGGCCAAAAUGGGAUGUAGGCGAUGGGAAGGACCCUCAAGACACAGUCCUGGGCUCCCAGGCAGGACCAACCCCCAAACCUGUCCCCCCAGGAGCCUGCAGAGCCACUGCCCUGACAGGGGACACCUCACUUCCUCUCCUUGCAGCUGCUCUUGGCUGGGAGAGCAGAGAACAGGGGACAGGAGAGAAGCCCCGAGAGUACUGAAGCUGAGGCUGGGGCGGUCUUCACUUCCCUCUUUCCUCGGCCCUUUUCCUGUUCUCUUGUCUUGUCUCUCUUUCUCUACUUUCCUUCUCCCUAGCCCAGUCUCUCACCGCUCUUCAGCCUCUGGGCCUUUCCUUCUUCCUCUCUUGCCCUCAUUCUUCCUUCUCUGUCCCUCUUGUCUUCUCUUUUACCUCUUCUCUUCUUCCCUCCUUCCUACAGCUAUGCCCUCUUCCCUCCUUUCUCUUGUCCCCAACCAGGGCAUUAGAAAUGCAUUCCAGUUACACUGAUCUGAUCACUGCAUAUUGUAUGCAUGCAUCAAAAUAUCACAUGUACCCCAGAAAUAUGUAAAUUACUGCAUAUCAAUAAAAAGAAAUGUAGCUUCUUUGCCUCACAUACAGAAAAGCCAAUCUGAAGUAUAAAUAAAUAAACAAACAAAUAAAUAAAACGAACCACACUGGCCCCCCCGCCGCCUCCCAGCCAUCAUCUGGGCCUGCCACUAUUUGCUCAGGGUAUCUAAACAUCAGCCAAAAUCAAAGAAAAAGUUUUAAAAUCUAUUGUUAAAAAUUUCCAAGGCUAAGUUGACAUGCAUGUACAAUAGCAUUUCCCAAACUGUGACUUAAUAAACUCCAAGCCUUCAAGUUGGGAGAGGUGGUUCCAUGAUACCGUUAAAAGCACAGACUGAAGCCCAUCUGCCUGGGUUUAAAUCCUUGCUCUGCAGCAUGAUAGUUAUGUGACCUUGGGCAAGGGCUUAAGUCGUUCUGUGCUGCAGUUUCCCUCUCUGCAAAUGGUAAUAAUAAUAAUACCUGCUUCAUAAGUUGUUAUAAAGAUUAAUUGCCUUAAAAUGGAAAGAUCUUAGGACAAUUCCUGGCUCUUAAUAAGUGCUCUAUAAGUGUUAGUGAUUCCUAGAAGCAUUGCAUGAAAGGAAGUUUGAAAAACACUGAAUACUUCUUGGCUGCCAUCUUGAAAAUAACACAAUAGCACAUUAGAGGGUCCAGAAGUCCUACAGCAAAAGACCUGUAUGACUCUGUUUACCUUAGUAAUCCUCAAACUUAUUUUUACUAUAGUACUCCCAAUCUCUUCUUUUAUGCACCAAACACCUGUCUCUGAGGACACUCUCACUUUUUGAGUGGAUCACAGUUUGAGAACUGCUGAUUUGGGAUUAUUCACUGUUUGAAGACCAUGUUGAGUGAGGUAGAGCGAGAAAGCAUUAUCUGAGUCAUCAGGAAGAUGUAGGGUCAAAUGCGAGCUUUACCCUCCCCAGGCACAGGGCCCAGGAAGUGUGUGGGCAGUCCCCAAGAGGAGAAAAGGCUUGCCCAAGGCCACACAGCCAGUUAGGGUGAGACUCAAGAUUAUUACACAGGAUUUCCAAACCUAGACCUUUCCAUCUCCCUCCUCUUCCUCAUUAUCAAAUAAAGGCAGGAGGUCUUUGUGUUGUUGCUGCUAGAGGACAGUCCCUCCUCAUCUGCUCCCUCCCUGGUUGGCUUUUCAUGCCUUUCGGGAGCUGGGCUGCAGUGCUCACCCCAGAGCACAUGCUUUUCUCCCAAUCAGAGAGAGGGAGGAGGCGAGAUGUCCUCAGUUUCCCACCCACAAGAAGAAGAAAAAAGAAAAAAAGAAAAAGAAAAGUAAAAGAGCUAAGGCAUUUUUUUUUAAAAAAGCUCCCCACAUACGCAGAGUGACCAAGUAGAAUCCUUUUGAGAGAGGACUUGUGUGCCCUGUCCCUGGUGCUGAAACAUGGCUGGGCACCUGGGCAGUGGUCUCCAACCCCGGCACUGGCUGGAAGGGCUGCUGCAGAAUCUUCUGUGGGAAUGGACGGGAGAUUUCCACUUAAUUCUGUGAUUUCAAGGUCUCGCAUCUCACCUGUUGGAUCAGAAUCCCCUGGGGUGGGCACCUGCCUUCCAUGUGUUCGAAAAUCUCCUGAGGAGGGUGAUUUGGGACCCCACUACCUUGGGGAGCAUUUAUGUAACCCAACCCUGGUCCACCUCUCUCAUGGAUCAUUGUUUGUCAGUGAUAUUAUUUUGUGAUUUUCUGAAAAAAAUUGUAAUUUUGAUACUCUUGCAGGAAAGAAAACUCCAUGAUAUAUUUUUACUAUUAAUGGAGCAGAUUUUAUGGCCGGUUGACAGUUCUAUUAUUUUUAUGGCAGUAGCAAUUUUUUUCUACUCUGGGGGCUUUAGGAUGCAUAUUCCUAGUGAAUCCACAUUUGUGGUCCUCUGGAGUCCACAGGAGCUAAAUGAGGCUAUUCCCUCCCCAUUCCUUCUUUUGGCCUGCAGGUCUUGUGGUUUACAGAGCUGGAAUGGUCUUAAUUAUGUUCGCGUGUUCUCUGUCUCCAUGUUGCACUGCUCCAGGCAGAGAUGAGAAGCUUCUGCUGUGGUAUUUGUUCUUUCAGGCACUUCUCUUUUCCCCUGGGAUCCUCAGGAAAACCCUCCUUGGUGGAGAAACAGUUGCAUUGGGCAUCCUGCCAAGAAAGAUGCCGGCGAGAUGGGGCCAGAGAGCUUCAUUAGCCCGUGACGAGGCCCCUGGGCUCUAAUACUGGGGAGGAGGGUGGAU